AUUGAACGCUGGCGGCAUGCCUUACACAUGCAAGUCGAACGGCAGCACGGGGGCAACCCUGGUGGCGAGUGGCGAACGGGUGAGUAAUGCUUCGGAACGUGCCUAGUAGCGGGGGAUAACAUAUCGAAAGAUGAGCUAAUACCGCAUACGAUCUACGGAUGAAAGAGGGGGAUCGCAAGACCUCUCACUAUUAGAGCGGCCGAAGCCUGAUUAGCUAGUUGGUGGGGUAAUAGCCCACCAAGGCGACGAUCAGUAGCUGGUUUGAGAGAACGACCAGCCACACUGGGACUGAGACACGGCCCAGACUCCUACGGGAGGCAGCAGUGGGGAAUAUUGGACAAUGGGCGGAAGCCUGAUCCAGCCAUGCCGCGUGUGUGAAGAAGGCCUUAUGGUUGUAAAGCACUUUAAGCGAGGAGGAGGCUACUUUAGUUAAUACCUAGAGAUAGUGGACGUUACUCGCAGAAUAAGCACCGGCUAACUCUGUGCCAGCAGCCGCAGUAA
RNAcentral lists this ribosomal RNA (501 nucleotides) under uncultured bacterium. RNAcentral describes it as "partial 16S ribosomal RNA". It matches the Rfam family "Bacterial small subunit ribosomal RNA", at positions 30 to 523 of the family's 1533-position model. The record is from RNAcentral.